Egretta garzetta (little egret) is the source of this 47-nucleotide non-coding RNA. NCBI's taxonomy places the organism in Eukaryota, Metazoa, Chordata, Aves, Pelecaniformes, Ardeidae. The record is from Rfam.
GAAAAGGCUUUCUUCAAAGCUACAGUUUCUAUUCUUAAAUUGAAAAU